Molecule: ribosomal RNA, 498 nt
Filed under: uncultured bacterium
Lineage: Bacteria
Description: bacterial SSU rRNA
Rfam family: Bacterial small subunit ribosomal RNA
Source: RNAcentral
GACGAACGCUGGCGGCGUGCUUGAUACAUGCAAGUCAAGGAGAACAUUAUCUUCGGAUAAUAAGUAAACUGGCGAACGGGUGAGUAACGCGUAAAUAACUUGCCUCAGAGAUUGGGACAACAUUGGGAAACCAGUGCUAAUACCAAAUAAUGCAGCGGGCUCUUCGGAGCAUUGUUGUUAAAGUAGGCUUCGGCUUACACUUUGAGAUAGGUUUGCGUCCGAUUAGUUUGUUGGUGGGGUAAUUGCCUACCAAGACUAAGAUCGGUAGCUGGUCUGAGAGGAUGAUCAGCCACACUGGAAUUGAGAUACGGUCCAGACUCCUACGGGAGGCAGCAGUAAGGAAUUUUGCACAAUGGGCGAAAGCCUGAUGCAGCAACGCCGCGUGAACGAUGAAGUUUUUAGGAAUGUAAAGUUCUGUCGUAUGGGAAGAGAUCUUUCGAAUGUUAAUACCAUUCGUUAAUGACGGUACCAUACAAGAAAGCACCGGCUAACUUCGUG